Molecule: long non-coding RNA, 2429 nt
Filed under: Jatropha curcas
Lineage: Eukaryota; Viridiplantae; Streptophyta; Magnoliopsida; Malpighiales; Euphorbiaceae
Description: long non-coding RNA (JCUR_LNC002180)
Source: RNAcentral
AAGCUUCAAGGCUACAUCAUUACUCAAAAACAAUGCAAGACCAAUUAAUUGGAAUCAGAAUCUGACAUCGGCAUCUGGUAUGCAUCUUUCGGCUCUAUAUCGGAAAUGGAAGGAGGUACAUUCCUUUUCAACACAUUUCUUCUUCGUUCUCUUCGUUUUUCUGUAGUUUCAUCCUGUAAGGAGACACAUCACAGGCAGAAUUACCUGUUUAAGUACUUUAAAAACAAAAAUUUGCAGAGAUUGAAAGCAGGACUAUGAUUUGAAAAGCCAUACGCGACUAAAACUAGUAGUUAAAGCAUAACAAAGAAAAAAGAAAGAGAGAGAGAGAGAGCUACAAUGCAAUCAGAAGAGCUUCAACAAGUGCACUUGAAAAUUAGAUCUUAGAAUUAUCACCGUGUGAUGUGAGUGGUCCACUUACCUUCUCCAAACCUGAUUCACUCGGUUGACUUGACUGACCACGAUGAGCUGGUUGACUUCUCAUGAGCCAUACAGCACCGAAAGACAUCAAAGCCCCCAAAAGUAAUAUUGGGCCAAUCCUUGGAUCUCCCAUGUGAUCAUAAAUUCUGCUUUUAAUUCUGUAGAUCCAGUGCUUGACACCCACACUUUUGUAUAGAAUAUUUUGGGCACCUCUUGACCAGAUAGGAUCUGAGUCUUCAGGAACAAGAUCAGGAGCUUUUAUUUUCUGCAUUCGAGACAAACAAAUGUUUAACAAAGAAUUCAAAAGAAAAACAUCAGCAAAGCUCCAGAAAAUAUUUGACCAUUAUCAUUACACCACAUAGUGAAGGACCAUUUCCACCAACUCUCUAUAUCAGAUGAUGUUUAUGGCUCCAAUAUUUUCUGUAUAUCUCCAUAAUUCAAAAAUAAAAUUUUCGAGUUAAAUAUAAUGUUAUUUCAAACGUUAGGCGUGUUCACUGAAAUGGAAAAUCAAUUGAUUAUAAUAUUAGUGGAAUAGCAGAACCAACGGCUUAUGCCAAACAACCAAGUGUUACAUUGAAGGACAAAUGCCCACCAUCUUCUAAUGGGGGCUAAAAAACAAAACCAGUUAAAGUUUGUACUUAGUAGCACCUUUCUAUUUCUGAUUAUUGGAAGUCUGGUCAUAUUCCCACGUGAAGUGGACGAUGGACAUUAUCACAAAAUUAUGCUCCUCACAAAAGUUGUUCAUAGGGGGGUUCAUGGGGGGGAAAAAAGAAGAGGGACACUUACAAAGAAGGGAAGAUCCCUGGUCUCACCAUCACUAAUUGUUUCUGCAAUCCAUCGAGCAAUCUGUAGUUAGAAAAAGCAAAAACUUAGUGAGAAAUGUUUAAAUCCACAAAAUCAAAUUUCCUGCUAUUUGAAAUACAUCUAAAAUAAAAUCUUAUAUAUAAACAACCAAAAAUCUGUGAUAACUGAUCAAUUAUUAAUUUUAAUCUAACAAAUAUGACUUCGCUAUGAACUGCAUAUACCUGUGGAGUUUCAUCCGAACCAUUGUAUCUUGCUACAAGCUGUGAUGCAGGAUCUGCAUCUUCAUCAUCGAAUGCAUUUCUUUUACCCCUGACAUUAUCUUGAGUAGUAUUCCUUUUGUAACGUACAAUAAAUAACCUAGGCACAUCACUCAGAUCCCUCCUCGGUCCGCAGGUGUCAUAGCUGGUUUCUGAAUGAAGGUAGAAGAGACAAUAUUUCUGUGUAGAGCUCCACAAUGUUAGUGGCUCCAGACCAAAAAACUAAAAGCUUACUUAUUGUAAACAAAGUUACAAUCCUAUAAAGAUCUGGAUCUUCAACCAAUAGUAUAUGCAUAUAUGAAAUGGAAAAUAGAUUGCAAGGUUAUCAAGAGUCAACAAAGAGAAAAUGGCAAAAAGUUUAUCAUUAUCCUCAUCAUUUUUACAAUUGAUUUGCCAUGGGGGAAAAUUUAUGGUGAAAAUGAUAAACAUGAUACUGAUCAUUGCAAUAAAGAAGAAUUUUAGCAAAUUACAAGUAAAUACAUUCCAUGGCAUAUCUAGGAUCAUAAGAAAAAAAGAGUAAAUUAGAGAUUGUAAAUCUAUCUCCUUGGCCAAUUUAGAUGUGCAUGAUGAUUCUUUAUUGUAGAAUAUAGAAGCCAGCCAACGUGUGCAAUUUUAAUUGCACAAUUAGAUGCCAGGAACUUGGUGACUCUUGUUGCUUCAUCCUAUUAAUUCCAAGUAAUUAUCUAAUAUGCUAUAAUUCAUGUCAUGGCAUGCAUAAACUUCAUGAUAUUUGUUGACCAGCUCUUUGCAUAUUCAACAGAACUUGGUCUAAAAUCAACAGCAUCAUUUAAAAGAGACAACUCACCUCUUGGGCUUCACCAUCAAGCCAAGCAAAUGUCAGUCGUUUGUUUUUCAGUGCAGUUGCCAGCAAUAAGGAUUGGUCAUCAUCAACAUCACUCAAUUUUCCAUCACUUGAUAAUAGUUCUCCUACCCUGCGCAUGGUCUAUGAGC